UGACCUCGGAUCAGGUAGAGCCCAUCACCUCGCUGAACUUAAGCAUAUCAAUAAGCGGA
RNAcentral lists this ribosomal RNA (59 nucleotides) under Fusarium culmorum. RNAcentral's name for it is "partial 28S ribosomal RNA". Lineage: Eukaryota; Fungi; Ascomycota; Sordariomycetes; Hypocreales; Nectriaceae. The record is from RNAcentral.